AUACGUAGGUGGCGAGCGUUGUCCGGAUUUACUGGGCGUUAAAGGAUGCGUAGGUGGAAAUUUAAGUGGGAUGUGAAAUCCCCGGGCUCAACCCGGGAACUGCAUUCCAAACUGGAUUUCUAGAGUGCAGGAGAGGAAAGCGGAAUUCCUAGUGUAGCGGUGAAAUGCGUAGAUAUUAGGAAGAACACCAGUGGCGAAGGCGGCUUUCUGGACUGUAACUGACACUGAGGCAUGAAAGCGUGGGGAGC
This 248-nucleotide ribosomal RNA is filed under the name uncultured bacterium. RNAcentral describes it as "partial 16S ribosomal RNA". It matches the Rfam family "Bacterial small subunit ribosomal RNA", at positions 523 to 769 of the family's 1533-position model. The record is from RNAcentral.